UACGUAGGUGACCAGCGUUGUCCGGAUUUACUGGGCGUAAAGUGUGCGCAGGUGGCUGAGCAAGUCGAGUGUGAAAUCCCCGGGCUUAACUUGGGAAUUGCGCUCGAAACUACUUGGCUCGAGUGUGGCAGAGGAAGGUGGAAUUCCAGGUGUAGCGGUGAAAUGCGUAGAGAUCUGGAGGAACACCGAUGGCGAAGGCAGCCUUCUGGGCCAACACUGACGCUCAUGCACGAAAGCGUGGGGAGCAAACAGG
This 253-nucleotide ribosomal RNA is filed under the name uncultured bacterium. RNAcentral's name for it is "partial 16S ribosomal RNA". It matches the Rfam family "Bacterial small subunit ribosomal RNA", at positions 524 to 776 of the family's 1533-position model. The record is from RNAcentral.